AUUUACAAAAUGUUCAUGGCAGGGCCCACUUCACAGGGCUGUGAGGAUUACAGAGGAUAAUCUGGGUGAGGCGCAUCAGCCCCAGCGCCGCCUGCCACAAUUCUAUCCGGCCCCACAUAUGCAUCGUCCAUAAGCGUCCGGCCCCUGCAUUCUCGCUUUUCCACGUGGCCGAGGUGCACACCCCAACCCACUGGGCCAGUCUCCCCGCCCUCUUACCUGCUCUUCUUUCCCGACUCGUCUUUAAUACCCACCAGGAGCCAGUCGCCGCGGGCCUGGCUCUGUGGUGGCAAGUUGCAUGGGUUCUCCCAUCAGGACCUCCCGAUGAGCCUACGAGGUCGGUUCUAUUACUGUCGCCACUUCAGAGGGAGGAAACAGGCCCGCAGGGUUGGGGAACUUCCCGAGGUCACUGAACUGGUGUCAGGCCCAGAUUGGAAUCCAAACACAUCCCAGCCCAUGCCCGGCUCCCCAGCGCCGGCUCCCAGGCGUCUUCCCGGGUGCCAGCGGCACCCGCAUCCAUUCAAAUGCUGCCCAGUCCCCGCUCCUCAGUCGCUUCCCUCUACUACGCGCCCGCAUCUCCCCCCGACCCCUCAGGGUCAGGCCUCUCGGUGGCUUUUCCUUUUUCUCUUCCAGAAACUAAGGGGUGAGACCGACGUUUGUGUGCCGGACGCGUGCAGGUGGCGGCGACGCUCCCGGGAGACGCGGGGGGAGAACCAGUCUGUGCGCGCGGCUGUGAGAAGCCCCGACCAAGCUUUCCACGCGCUUGUUUCGGGCAGCAGAGGACGCGAGGGCCGACUGCGUCCCCAGUGCGCAGGCUCGGCCGGGGGCGCGUAAUCAGGCAGCCCAGCGGUCCCUUCAAACCGAGGCAGGGAAGCUCUACGUCUUGGGGGCCGCAUGGUGCCGAGAGCGCAGACCAGACCCGCCCCGCCUCUCCGUGCCACGCACGCGCUCGGCUCCGCGCUUAAUGGCUGGAGUGCAGUGGCGCGAUCUCGGCUCAUCGCAACCUCCAUCUCCCGGGUUCAAGCAAUUCUCUGCCUCAGCCUCCCGAGUGGCUGGGAUUACAGAAGCAGUAUCUGACUGUGUUGCCCAGGCUGGUCUUGAACUCCUGGUCUCAAAUGAUUCUCCUGCUUUGGCCUCCUAAAGUGCUGGGAUUACAGACAUAUUUAUUCAAUUUUUAAUGUCAGACCAUAAGCAACGCGAAUGAAAUUUGGUGCCAUCACUCGGAUCAGGGGACCUCCCUUGGGAGAUCAAUCCCCUGUCCUCCUGCUCUUUGCUCCAUGAGAAAGAUCCACCUACGAUCUCUGCUCCUCAGACCAACCAGCCCAAGGAACAUCUCACCAAUUUUAAAUCGGAUCUUCUCAGCUUAGCGGCUGAAGACUGAUGCUGCCAGAUGACUUUGGAAGCCCCCUGGACCAUCACAGAUGCCCAGCUUUGGAUAACUCUUACAGUGGAGGAAGACAGGAAUAUCAGGUCUCUGAGCCCAAGCUAAGCCAUCAUAUCCCCUGUGACCUGCAUGUAUGCAUCCAGAUGGCCUGAAGUAACUGAAGAAUCACAAAAGAAGUGAAAAUGGCGCGUGCCUGCCUUAACUGAUGACAUUACCUUGUGAAAUUCCUUCUCCUGGCUCAUCCUGGCUCAAAAGCUCCCCCACUGAGCACCUUGUGACCCCCACUCCUGCCUAACAGAGAACAAUCCCCUUUGACUGUAAUUUCCCACUACCUACCCAAAUCCUAUAAAACGGCCCCACCCCUAUCUCCAUUCACUGACUCUUUUUGGACUCAGCCCACCUGCACCCAGGUGAAAUAAACAGCCUUGUUGCUCACACAGAAC
RNAcentral lists this long non-coding RNA (1824 nucleotides) under Homo sapiens (human). RNAcentral's name for it is "long independently transcribed non-coding RNA 1356 (LINC01356)". The record is from RNAcentral. Lineage: Eukaryota; Metazoa; Chordata; Mammalia; Primates; Hominidae.